UACAGAGGGUGCGAGCGUUGUCCGGAAUCACUGGGCGUAAAGGGCGCGUAGGCGGUCUCUUAAGCGUGUGGUGAAAGCCCGGGGCUCAACUCCGGGUCGGCCGUGCGAACUGGGGGACUGGAGCUUGUCAGAGGCAGGCGGAAUUCCGGGUGUAGCGGUGGAAUGCGUAGAGAUCCGGAAGAACACCGGUGGCGAAGGCGGCCUGCUGGGACAGUGCUGACGCUGAGGCGCGACAGCGUGGGGAGCAGACAGG
RNAcentral lists this ribosomal RNA (253 nucleotides) under uncultured bacterium. RNAcentral's name for it is "partial 16S ribosomal RNA". It matches the Rfam family "Bacterial small subunit ribosomal RNA", at positions 524 to 776 of the family's 1533-position model. The record is from RNAcentral.